RNAcentral lists this ribosomal RNA (2337 nucleotides) under Triticum aestivum (bread wheat). Its description in RNAcentral is "partial small subunit ribosomal RNA". The record is from RNAcentral. Lineage: Eukaryota; Viridiplantae; Streptophyta; Magnoliopsida; Poales; Poaceae.
AUGUGCGUAAGUUCAUCAUCAUAUUUUUUGGACGACAUCUUGGUAUUCAGCACUGACCUGCAGGAACACGAGGAACAUCUUUGCCUCACUCUGCAACUUCUCCGCGAGCAUCAACUAUUUGCCAAGGCCAGCAAGUGUUCGUUCGCACAAACAAGCAUUGAAUACCUCGGGCAUGUGAUCUCACAAGAGGGAGUUGCUACGGACAACAGCAAGACCAGCGCCAUGCAGUCCUGGCCCGUGCCCACCACGCCCACGGAGCUGCGGGGCUUCUUGGGGCUGACGGGCUACUACCAUAAAUUCUUUCCCCAUUACGGCAUCAUCGCCAAGCCCCUGAUGCAACUGUUGACGAAGAAAGGGUUUCUCUGGGACGACAAGGCGCAGCAAGCCUUCGACAUGCUCAAGCGCGCCAUGGUGAGCACGCCAGUGUUGGCGCUGCCCAACUUCACGUGCCCGUUCGCCAUCGAAACGGAUGCGUGCGAUACCGGCGUGGGCGCGGUGCUUAUGCAAGAUGGCCAUCCAAUGGCCUACCUCAGCAAGGCCCUGGGAGUAUGCAAUCAGAAGCUAUCCACAUAUGAGAAGGAAUUUCUCGCCGUCAUGAUGGCCAUCGACAAGUGGCGGCCGUACCUGCAGCGUGCUCCAUUUGAGAUCGUUACUGACCACAAGAGUCUCUGUGCACUGGAUGAUCAACAACUGGUAACCGAUCUCCAGCGCAAAGCCAUGUCCAAGAUGGUGGGGCUGCAGUUCUCCUUCCGCUACAAGAAGGGCGUCGACAACAAUGCUGCCGAUGUGAUGUCUCGCGUCGGCCACCUCCUGCAGCUCGACGCACUGUCCAUGUGCCAACCGCAAUGGCUGCAAGAAGUUGCCAAUUCCUAUGAGACCGACCCCGACUCUCAAGAGCUACUCACCAAGCUGGCUGUCAUCAACACUGACGAUCAAGGGCGCACCCUGCAGCAAGGCGUAAUCCGGCAACGCGGUCGACUCUGGAUCGGUGCCAACUCAGCUCUUCAGACCAAACUCAUCGCUGCUCUCCACCAUAGCGCCGUGGGAGGUCACUCAGGCGCCACAGCAACAUAUCACAGAGUGCACAAACUUUUUGCCUGGCCGGGUCUGAAGCGUGCCGUUGAGGAUUUUGUUCGCCAAUGCACUGUCUGCCAGCAUGCCAAGCAUGAGAACACGCACCAGGCGGGCAAGCUCCAACCCCUCCCAAUACCUACAGCGCCAUGGCAAGACCUCAUCAAGGACUUCGUCGAGGGAUUACCCAAAUCUGAAGGGUACGACUCUAUCAUGGUCGUCGUCGAUCGCCUAACUAAGUUCGCGCACUUUGUGCCGCUCCGGCACCCCUUCACCGCGGUCCACGUCGCCCGUGCAUUUUGGGACAACGUCAUCAAGCUGCACGGCGUACCUCUCUCCAUCGUCUCUGAUCGGGACAAGAUCUUCACUAGCACCAUGUGGCGUGAACUGCUCGCCGCGGCCGGCACCAAGCUGCUGUACUCUACCGCUUAUCACCCGCAGACGGACGGGCAGACGGAGCGCGUCAACCAGUGCCUGGAGAUGUAUCUCUGGUGCGCCGUCCAUGACACCCCGCAUCGAUGGCGCAAGUGGCUGCCAGCAUCAGAGUUUUGGUACAACUCUUCCCACCACUCGUCUCUGAAGUGCUCCCCGUUCAAGGCGCUCUACGGCACUGAACCCAACCUGGGGGACCUUCCUCAACUCAGCUCCGCGCUGCCCAUCGACGCGUCCUCUGGGGACCUGGACUGGGCCGCGCACACCGACCUAUUGCGCGCGCAGCUCUCGCGCGCCCAGGCGCGUUUCAAGAAGCAGGCGGAUCGACACCGUGCUGAGCGCGCUUUCGAUGUGGGAGAGCAGGUUCUGCUCAAGCUCCAACCGUACGCUCAAUCUUCCGUCGUCAACCGCCCCUGCCGCAAGCUCUCAUACAAGUUCUAUGGCCCGUUCUUGGUGACCGAGCGCAUUGGCUCCCUGGCAUACCGACUGCAGUUGCCUCCGGACAACCGCGUCCAUCCGGUAUUCCACGUCUCCCAAUUGAAGCCUUUCCUUCCUGAUUAUACUCCAGUCUUUACUGAACUGCCCAGGGUACCGGACCUUGCCGCCGGCGAGUCUGAACCAAUCGCCAUCCGGGAUCGCCGCAUGAUGAAAAAGGGAGACGCUCCAGUCGUCCAAUUGCUUGUCCAGUGGGCCAACAUGCCACUGGCGGCCACUAUCUGGGAGGAUUACGACGUCCUACAGCAACGUUACCCGUCGGCUUGCAUCUGGGAGGAAGCUGCUUCUCAAGGAGGGGACAAUGUCACGCCUGCAGAUGAUACAUCCGCAGCGGACUGA